RNAcentral lists this ribosomal RNA (435 nucleotides) under uncultured bacterium. Its description in RNAcentral is "partial 16S ribosomal RNA". It matches the Rfam family "Bacterial small subunit ribosomal RNA", at positions 29 to 507 of the family's 1533-position model. The record is from RNAcentral.
AACGAACGCUGGCGGCAUGCCUGACACAUGCAAGUCGAACGAUUGCCUUCGGGUGAUAGUGGCGCACGGGUGCGUAACGCGUGGGAAUCUGCCCUUAGGUUCGGAAUAACAGCUGGAAACGGCUGCUAAUACCGGAUGAUAUCGCGAGAUCAAAGAUUUAUCGCCUGAGGAUGAGCCCGCGUUGGAUUAGGUAGUUGGUGGGGUAAAGGCCUACCAAGCCGACGAUCCAUAGCUGGUCUGAGAGGAUGAUCAGCCACACUGGGACUGAGACACGGCCCAGACUCCUACGGGAGGCAGCAGUGGGGAAUAUUGGACAAUGGGCGCAAGCCUGAUCCAGCAAUGCCGCGUGAGUGAUGAAGGCCCUAGGGUUGUAAAGCUCUUUUACCCGGGAAGAUAAUGACUGUACCGGGAGAAUAAGCCCCGGCUAACUCCGUG